UAGUCGAUUAUAGCCCGUUGUGUACGAAACAUUGGAAAACUAAGAGUCGAGAGGGUACCAGCCAAUAAACGGAUCGGAUGGCGCGAGAAACAAACGACGAUAUUCCACGUCGAAGUUAGAGAGUACGUAAUUAAUUCGUAAUCAUAUUUACCCGUACGAAUAACGUCCCUGCCUCGGUACAACUUCGUAGAGAUUAACGUAAAAAUAUACAUACUGGAAUUAUCAUUUAGCGGCGUCUCCUUAGCAUCUUCUAGCGUUUCCUACAGCUGCAGAUCGUGGUCUAAAUAUAAAUCAAUAUUUAAACGCCUCCGCCAUGGAACCGUUACAGAAGCUACGAGCUGUAACCGAUCGAGUUCGAGACUCCGCCGCGAAAUACUGUGCAUUUCGGAAAAAAUAAAUAUGGACGCCGGGAAUAACCUCAAAAAUGCGGGCUCCCUAAAUAGCCUCCAUAAAAAACGUCAGCGGCGAGUGUGUCGGACUGUUUUCACGAGCGAAAUCAUUAUACGUCACGGCACAGUUGUCUCGGUAAUGUCGCGGAGGCAUAUUCCAAGAUAAAUUACGGUGGAGAACGAGCUCGGCCGGAUGAUUUACAGGAAAAAGGUGUUCCGAGCGUAAUGGUCCACCUCAUGGCGUGUCCGGUAAUAGAAGCACGCGAUUUUCGCGAUUUUGUUUCGGUGACUGACGUCUAGAUGUCAAUGGCAUAAACCGCGGCUCGUGUCGCCACUCGCAUUGUCUGUAUUUCAAAUUAGAAACGGCAGGACGUAAAGCGUUCGACUUAACGUUAUGUCAACAUUCGUCCACGCGGGACACAUUUCAUUUACCGAACAACUCAAUGAGAGAAGCUGACUGCCCGAGCAACCCUUUUCAACAUUUCCAUCAACGGGAUACCUAAGGAAAUCAACUGGCCGAGUCUCCUCGGUCACGUGACGAUUCCAACGUCCCAUCAUAAUAAACAAAGGAAAGAACUUACGGUCGACAGGAUCACCUGGCAGAACGUGACACUACUCGUUGCACCCGCGGAUCCCGUCACAUCACAGUCUCCGCGAUCACACGACCGGCGAGCACCGGGAGACAAAGACCUCCGCUACGCCAGGCCCGCUGGACUGACGCGUUUUAAAACGAUUCCUCGUGUUAACUUGCGCUCUUUUUGUUUAUCAGGUAGAGCCGGGCGGCCAUGCACGAGGACAGUCGACCGAUCGGCGUACACCUGGAUGACACCUGGAGAACUCGUUCCCGUUCGACGGUCUCGCUGGGCCCGCCUUUUGUGUUCACCUCGCGAGCGUAAACCUACGUGGUCUUCUGUGCACACGCCACGGUGUAAUACACGAAACUGCCGGCUUAAAGGAACUCUCUGUGCCGUAGAAAGAAGGUGGUGGAGGAGACGAGGAAGGCGUCCAAUGGCGUGACAGAGACGGAGAAACGGCCCAUUCCCUACGUCUGUCUCUCGCCACUGUGUGCGACCCGCCGUGUUUACGUGCACGUAUACACGGCGAGGCUGCCCGUUUUCGUUGUGCGCGCACGAGACCGUAGAACGGCCGUGCAUCAACGGCCGGCCACGGGAGAAACCAUCUUUUUCGGGAAUUUCAAAAUCUCGGGGAACCCGCUGACCACCAUUGUUCCCGCGAGCACGCGCCGCCACAGAUGGCGUUGACGCGAACGAUUUUCAGGUCCGCCGUGUCGAAAUCCUGGCGAAAUUAGACACGUGUCGACGGAGGCCUUCUCCGAGGGACUAGUAUCGGUUUGCAGAAUAAAUUAACAUUUCAAUGAAUUUUUAAUUGCCUGCAAGUGCACCGAGGGUUCACCUUCGGUGUACGCUUUUCAUGGUACACUGCGAUAGACGAGAGUAUUCCUACUGAUUCCCUUGAAUUCUGGGGAUCCGUGAAAUGAUUUUUGUUUAUCGCUAGUUGUAAUGGACGUGUCCCUUAAUGCUACACGUGUAAUCGUAUUGUUUACUAGCAGUAAUAAUUCGUUGCGAGUUAAGAAGUACACCUUUCUUCAACAGGCACUUCGAUUUCCGUUUAUGGAAACGUUUGUACUCGAAGCACGUAGGAAGUUGCGUAUGCGGGUGAUUAUGUUUAUUGGUUCUCGCGACGUAAGUCAAUUUGUCGGAAAAGUUUCGACACCACGAGCCGGAGAGAAUGGUAUUGCUACACUGUUGAUUCUGAGGCUACAUAUUCUUAUAAAUUUCACAGGUUGAAGUCGUGCGUAAUCCAUGAAAUUGCUGCUGUCACGGGAGUCGUUGCACACGAACGAUUUUUAUAAUUACUGUAAAUUGCCCAAUCGGUAUCAAGCGAACAAGGGAAAAGAAACCUAUGAGAUCUCGUGGAGCGCAGAAAGGAAACGUUUCGUAGAUCAGGAUGAAAGCACCAGGAUACCCAACUUUGUUCUUCGGUAGAUUCAUUGAACCCUUGGAAUCGUUGCAAGAAUUCGAUCAAUCUUAAAUCGCCGAGGGAUCUUCCCGAAAAAAUCAAACUUCGAAUGUUGAAGGUUUCCCAGGAAACCACUAAGCCGAUGAGUGUUUAGAUAAGAAGGCUGCAGCAUCGCAAAGUUCGAAGAACUGCAGACGCCUUUUAACGACGCCGGUUGCGGUAAUCGACCGGAAAACUGUAACUUCACAUUAGGAAGCCACAAUGUGCAGUCUUCCUGCGUCCCUUAUGUACAGUAAUUUACUUAUACUCAAUUCCGCGGGGGGAAUAUAUACCCGCUGCGAGUAGCGUCGACGUUAAACGGCCCGCUUUAAUGUCAAAACGCGCGAUAGCAAUGGCGAACCUACGUACCCGUUCUGCGAUUGCAUAGCCGAUUCCUGGAAAUUCGACCAGGUCUGCUUUCUAGAGACCGAGCGAACCUGAAAGCCUCUAACCCGCGCCAAACCGAAGCAAAUCUUCAUUACGUCACGGUUACCUUCCUCGAGCAUCAUUUAUUUAUGAAAAGUACGCGACUUGCAACACGACCCCUGGCGCUAAACCGGUAUUAAGGCUGCAUGGGCAGGCUGCAUCGUCUACACACGGCUUAAUGUCAGCCGAGCAAGUUGGCACGAAAUACGAUAAAUGCCACUUUCGCCCUGGAAUAACCUACGGCUCCGAGAUAUUUGCGGGCUGGAUUUCUUUCUGCGACGUCAGGGAUUGAUCGAAGGUAAUUCGUCGAUGCCAGAAGGGCGGGGACCGUUUCUAACCGGCGCGCCGCCGCUUACCGAUAUCACGAAGGCGUCGAGUAAUUCCCAGCUUUCACGGAACCGUCGUGCCGACGAGGCCCGAGGAUCCCGCCGCGGCAAGAAGAACAUCCGGUCUCUCCACGGUUAAUCCCGCGACGACUGCGGCCGCCCGGGAAUCCUGCGAAGAAGCACCUCGGCGUUUAGCAAUUUUUUCGUCGAAUGCUCGUCCGCUAAUUCGCCGUGCAAUUUAUUACACGAUUCUAUAAAACGUUCCCGUUCUAACACGCGAGCUUAAAGAGCGGCACGAUUACUAUUCCACGCCCACUCCAUCUUGUCUUACGACAAGUACCGCUACCGUAGUUUAGUAACCGUUAGCCAGACAACGCUCGAGCCGUGACUACUGAUCAAAGUCGCGGGGCCGUCAAUCGGGCCCUCGUUCCUCGAUCAGUCCCAGUCCCAGUCUGAGCCAAGUGCAUUCGAAAAACAGAUCCGAUCUCGACGGCCGACUACGACUCCCCCCUGGUCUGCUGUAGAUCGGAGCG
This is a non-coding RNA of Nomia melanderi (Alkali bee), 3693 nucleotides long. The record is from RefSeq and is a predicted model, not a curated record. Lineage: Eukaryota; Metazoa; Arthropoda; Insecta; Hymenoptera; Halictidae.